UAGGGAAUCUUCGGCAAUGGGGGGAACCCUGACCGAGCAACGCCGCGUGAGUGAAGAAGGUUUUCGGAUCGUAAAGCUCUGUUGUUAAGGAAGAACGAGUGUGAGAAUGGAAAGUUCAUGCUGUGACGGUACUUAACCAGAAAGGGACGGCUAACUACGUGCCAGCAGCCGCGGUAAUACGUAGGUCCCGAGCGUUGUCCGGAUUUAUUGGGCGUAAAGCGAGCGCAGGCGGUUAGAAAAGUCUGAAGUGAAAGCCCCCGGCUCAACCGGGGAGGGUCAUUGGAAACUGAUUGACUUGAGUGCAGAAGAGGAGAGUGGAAUUCCAUGUGUAGCGGUGAAAUGCGUAGAUAUAUGGAGGAACACCAGUGGCGAAGGCGACUCUCUGGUCUGUAACUGACGCUGAGGUUCGAAAGCGUGGGUAGCAAACAGG
This 430-nucleotide ribosomal RNA is filed under the name Bacteroidota bacterium. RNAcentral describes it as "Bacteroidetes bacterium partial 16S ribosomal RNA". It matches the Rfam family "Bacterial small subunit ribosomal RNA", at positions 355 to 776 of the family's 1533-position model. The record is from RNAcentral. Lineage: Bacteria; Pseudomonadati; Bacteroidota.